CGACUCCUGGAUCAUAUCAAUCUGCCUCUAUUCUUACUGACAUAACCAGUAGAAUGGCUGAAAAUUUGAACAGAAAUCAGUCCCAACCUCGACUAUUGAAACUUUUGUUGCACUUAUAGGCAUCAAGUUGGACGGCACCAACUAUGCACUUUGGUCCCAAGUUGUCAAGAUAUGUAUCUCCGACAAAGACAAGCUGUGAUAUAUCAACGACGACUUUCCUCCACCAUCUGAAACAGACUCUGCAAAUGGCGUACUGAUAAUGCCAUUGUGAAAGGUUGGCUCAUAAACUCCAUGGAUCCAUCGCUUAUCUGUAAUUUCAUCAGAUUUCCUAUGGCAAAACUUGUCCACCUU
This 351-nucleotide long non-coding RNA is filed under the name Olea europaea subsp. europaea. Lineage: Eukaryota; Viridiplantae; Streptophyta; Magnoliopsida; Lamiales; Oleaceae. The record is from RNAcentral.